CAAAGAAUAGUUUAGUGAAAAUCCUAGCUUUGGGAGUUAGGGAUAGGGGUUUGAACCCCCUUUCUUUGA
RNAcentral lists this transfer RNA (69 nucleotides) under Gymnogeophagus balzanii. Its description in RNAcentral is "tRNA-Pro". It matches the Rfam family "tRNA". Rfam says of the family: Transfer RNA (tRNA) molecules are approximately 80 nucleotides in length. Their secondary structure includes four short double-helical elements and three loops (D, anti-codon, and T loops). Further hydrogen bonds mediate the characteristic L-shaped molecular structure. tRNAs have two regions of fundamental functional importance: the anti-codon, which is responsible for specific mRNA codon recognition, and the 3' end, to which the tRNAs corresponding amino acid is attached (by aminoacyl-tRNA synthetases). tRNAs cope with the degeneracy of the genetic code in two manners: having more than one tRNA (with a specific anti-codon) for a particular amino acid; and 'wobble' base-pairing, i.e. permitting non-standard base-pairing at the 3rd anti-codon position. Lineage: Eukaryota; Metazoa; Chordata; Actinopteri; Cichliformes; Cichlidae. The record is from RNAcentral.